GGGUUGUGAGGUUAAGCGACUAAGCGUACACGGUGGAUGCCCUGGCAGUCAGAGGCGAUGAAGGGCGUGCUAAUCUGCGAUAAGCGCCGGUAAGGUGAUAUGAACCGUUAUAACCGGCGAUACCCGAAUGGGGAAACCCAGUGUGACUCGUCACACUAUCAUUAACUGAAUCCAUAGGUUAAUGAGGCGAACCGGGGGAACUGAAACAUCUAAGUACCCCGAGGAAAAGAAAUCAACCGAGAUUCCCCCAGUAGCGGCGAGCGAACGGGGAGGAGCCCAGAGCCUGAAUCAGCAUGUGUGUUAGUGGAAGCGUCUGGAAAGGCGCGCGAUACAGGGUGACAGCCCCGUACACAAAAGCGCAUGUGCUGUGAGCUCGAUGAGUAGGGCGGGACACGUGGUAUCCUGUCUGAAUAUGGGGGGACCAUCCUCCAAGGCUAAAUACUCCUGACUGACCGAUAGUGAACCAGUACCGUGAGGGAAAGGCGAAAAGAACCCCGGCGAGGGGAGUGAAAAAGAACCUGAAACCGUGUACGUACAAGCAGUGGGAGCCCCACCACCAAAGCAUUUGCUGUACCGCGUUGACGGAGCGAAGCGACGUCAAACCGAUAAAACAGCAGUGUAAAGUGAGCCGCAGGGCGCUUUGCGCGACAGCGCAAAGGCAGGCGGUUUCGCGUAGCGAAAGCGAAUGCUUUGGGGUGGGGUGACUGCGUACCUUUUGUAUAAUGGGUCAGCGACUUAUAUUCUGUAGCAAGGUUAACCGAAUAGGGGAGCCGGAGGGAAACCGAGUCUUAAC
This 793-nucleotide ribosomal RNA is filed under the name Salmonella enterica. Its description in RNAcentral is "partial 23S ribosomal RNA". It matches the Rfam family "Bacterial large subunit ribosomal RNA", at positions 1 to 688 of the family's 2925-position model. The record is from RNAcentral. Lineage: Bacteria; Pseudomonadati; Pseudomonadota; Gammaproteobacteria; Enterobacterales; Enterobacteriaceae.